CAGCAGCCGCGGUAAUUCCAGCUCCAAUAGCGUAUAUUAAAGUUGCUGCAGUUAAAAAGCUCGUAGUUGAAUUUCGGGACCAUCAUGUCGGUCGUGCCUCGGUACGUACUGGCAUCGUUGGUUUCUCCCUUCUGACGAACCAUGAUGUCAUUAAUUUGGUGUCAUGAGGAAUCAGGACUGUUACUUUGAAAAAAUUAGAGUGUUUAAAGCAGGCUCACGCUUGAAUACAUUAGCAUGGAAUAAUGAAAUAGGACGUUUGAUUCUAUUUUGUUGGUUUCUAGGAUCGACGUAAUGAUUAAUAGGGAUAGUUGGGGGCAUUAGUAUUCAAUUGUCAGAGGUGAAAUUCUUGGAUUUAUUGAAGACUAACUACUGCGAAAGCAUUUGCCAAGGAUGUUUUCAUUAAUCAAGAACGAAAGUUAGGGGAUCGAAGACGAUCAGAUACCGUCGUAGUCUUAACCAUAAACUAUGCCGACUAGGGAUCGGAUGAUGUUAAUUUUUUAAUGACUCAUUCGGCGCCUUACG
RNAcentral lists this ribosomal RNA (522 nucleotides) under uncultured Glomus. RNAcentral's name for it is "SSU rRNA". It matches the Rfam family "Eukaryotic small subunit ribosomal RNA", at positions 568 to 1092 of the family's 1831-position model. The record is from RNAcentral. Lineage: Eukaryota; Fungi; Glomeromycota; Glomeromycetes; Glomerales; Glomeraceae.